RNAcentral lists this non-coding RNA (21 nucleotides) under Caenorhabditis elegans. The record is from RNAcentral. Lineage: Eukaryota; Metazoa; Nematoda; Chromadorea; Rhabditida; Rhabditidae.
UCACUGCACCCACUUGUUCAG